This 424-nucleotide ribosomal RNA is filed under the name uncultured bacterium. RNAcentral's name for it is "bacterial SSU rRNA". It matches the Rfam family "Bacterial small subunit ribosomal RNA", at positions 355 to 776 of the family's 1533-position model. The record is from RNAcentral.
UAAGGAAUAUUGGUCAAUGGACGCAAGUCUGAACCAGCCAUGCCGCGUGAAGGAUGAAGGUCCUCUGGAUUGUAAACUUCUUUUAUAUGGGACGAAAAAAGGGGAUUCUUCCUCACUUGACGGUACCAUAGGAAUAAGCACCGGCUAACUCCGUGCCAGCAGCCGCGGUAAUACGGAGGGUGCGAGCGUUAUCCGGAUUUACUGGGUUUAAAGGGUGCGUAGGUGGGCAGGUAAGUCAGUGGUGAAAUCUCCGGGCUUAACCCGGAAACUGCCAUUGAUACUAUCUGUCUUGAAUAUCCUGGAGGUGAGCGGAAUAUGUCAUGUAGCGGUGAAAUGCUUAGAUAUGACAUAGAACACCGAUUGCGAAGGCAGCUCACUACGGGAUCAUUGACGCUGAGGCACGAAAGCGUGGGGAUCAAACAGG